This 405-nucleotide ribosomal RNA is filed under the name uncultured bacterium. Its description in RNAcentral is "bacterial SSU rRNA". It matches the Rfam family "Bacterial small subunit ribosomal RNA", at positions 355 to 776 of the family's 1533-position model. The record is from RNAcentral.
UAGGGAAUUUUCCACAAUGGGCGAAAGCCUGAUGGAGCAACGCCGCGUGCAGGAUGAAGGCUUUCGGGUCGUAAACUGCUUUUAAGAGUGAAGAUUAUGACGGUAGCUCUUGAAUAAGGAUCGGCUAACUCCGUGCCAGCAGCCGCGGUCAUACGGAGGAUCCAAGCGUUAUCCGGAAUUACUGGGCGUAAAGAGUUGCGUAGGUGGCACAGUAAGCAGGGCAUGAAAUCGUGUGGCUCAACCAUACAUCCAUGUUCUGAACUGCUGAGCUUGAGGACGAGAGAGGUAGAUGGAAUUCCCAGUGUAGGAGUGAAAUCCGUAGAUAUUGGGAGGAACACCGAUGGCGUAGGCAGUCUACUGGCUCGUUCCUGACACUAAGGCACGAAAGCGUGGGGAGCAAACGGG